AGCUUUGUGCAGUGGCAGAAUCGUAGCCAAUGAGGUUUAUCCGAGGCGUGAUUAUUGCUAAUUGAAAAAUAAAAUCUUAAAAAAAUUAUUUAUGUCCUGAUUCAUGUGCUACAUUUUACAUAAAUGCAGAAAGAUAAAAACUGAUUUUUAAAAAGAACUUCGUUG
This 165-nucleotide small nuclear RNA is filed under the name Mustela putorius furo (domestic ferret). RNAcentral's name for it is "U4 spliceosomal RNA". It matches the Rfam family "U4 spliceosomal RNA". From Rfam's summary of the family: U4 small nuclear RNA (U4 snRNA) is a component of the major U2-dependent spliceosome. The structure of U4 snRNA from yeast and human has been reported. Lineage: Eukaryota; Metazoa; Chordata; Mammalia; Carnivora; Mustelidae. The record is from Rfam by way of RNAcentral.